This 719-nucleotide ribosomal RNA is filed under the name Candidimonas sp. RNAcentral describes it as "bacterial SSU rRNA". It matches the Rfam family "Bacterial small subunit ribosomal RNA", at positions 26 to 740 of the family's 1533-position model. Lineage: Bacteria; Pseudomonadati; Pseudomonadota; Betaproteobacteria; Burkholderiales; Alcaligenaceae. The record is from RNAcentral.
AGAUUGAACGCUAGCGGGAUGCUUUACACAUGCAAGUCGAACGGCAGCGCGGACUUCGGUCUGGCGGCGAGUGGCGAACGGGUGAGUAAUGUAUCGGAACGUACCCAGUAGCGGGGGAUAACUACGCGAAAGCGUGGCUAAUACCGCAUACGCCCUUUGGGGGAAAGCGGGGGACCUUCGGGCCUCGCACUAUUGGAGCGGCCGAUAUCGGAUUAGCUAGUUGGUGAGGUAAAGGCUCACCAAGGCGACGAUCCGUAGCUGGUUUGAGAGGACGACCAGCCACACUGGGACUGAGACACGGCCCAGACUCCUACGGGAGGCAGCAGUGGGGAAUUUUGGACAAUGGGGGCAACCCUGAUCCAGCCAUCCCGCGUGUGCGAUGAAGGCCUUCGGGUUGUAAAGCACUUUUGGCAGGGAAGAAAAGGUGCCGGUGAAUACCCGGCGCCGCUGACGGUACCUGCAGAAUAAGCACCGGCUAACUACGUGCCAGCAGCCGCGGUAAUACGUAGGGUGCAAGCGUUAAUCGGAAUUACUGGGCGUAAAGCGUGCGCAGGCGGCUCGGAAAGAAAGAUGUGAAAUCCCAGGGCUUAACCUUGGAAUGGCAUUUUUAACUCCCGAGCUAGAGUAUGUCAGAGGGGGGUAGAAUUCCACGUGUAGCAGUGAAAUGCGUAGAGAUGUGGAGGAAUACCGAUGGCGAAGGCAGCCCCCUGGGAUAAUAC